UACGUAGGUGGCAAGCGUUGUCCGGAAUUAUUGGGCGUAAAGCGCGCGCAGGCGGUUCUUUUAAGUCUGAUGUGAAAGCCCACGGCUCAACCGUGGAGGGUCAUUGGAAACUGGAGAACUUGAGUACAGAAGAGGAAAGCGGAAUUCCACGUGUAGCGGUGAAAUGCGUAGAGAUCCGGAGGAACACCAGUGGCGCAGGCGGCUCUCUGGGUCGGCCCUGACGCUGAGGCGCGAAAGCGUGGGGAGCAAACAGG
This 254-nucleotide ribosomal RNA is filed under the name uncultured bacterium. Its description in RNAcentral is "partial 16S ribosomal RNA". It matches the Rfam family "Bacterial small subunit ribosomal RNA", at positions 524 to 776 of the family's 1533-position model. The record is from RNAcentral.